GGCGUCCGAGUUGUAAUUUGUAGAGGAUGCUAUUGGGUUGCCACCGGUCUAAGUUCCUUGGAACAGGACGUCACAGAGGGUGAGAAUCCCGUAUGUGACCGGCCAGGCGCCUUCUGUAUAGCUCCUUCGACGAGUCGGGUUGUUUGGGAAUGCAGCCCUAAAUGGGAGGUAAAUUUCUUCUAAAGCUAAAUACCGGCCAGAGACCGAUAGCGCACAAGUAGAGUGAUCGAAAGAUGAAAAGCACUUUGGAAAGAGAGUUAAAAAGCACGUGAAAUUGUUGAAAGGGAAGCGCUUGCAAUCAGUCUCGACGGCGGCUGUUCGGCCUCUCUUCUGAGUGGUUUAUUCAGUCGCCGCCGGGCCAGCAUCAGUUUUGGCGGCCGGAUAAAGGCGCGGGGAAUGUAGCUCCUCCGGGAGUGUUAUAGCCCCGCGUGCAAUACGGCCCGCCGGGACUGAGGUCCGCGCUUCGGCUAGGAUGCUGGCGAAAUGGUUGUAAGCGGCCCGUCUUGAAACACGGACCAAGGAGUCUAACAUCUACGCGAGUGUUUGGGUGUCAAACCCGUGCGCGCAAUGAAAGUGAACGGAGGUGGGAACCGCAAGGUGCACCAUCGACCGAUCCUGAUGUCUUCGGAUGGAUUUGAGUAAGAGCGUAGCUGUUGGGACCCGAAAGAUGGUGAACUAUGCCUGAAUAGGGUGAAGCCAGAGGAAACUCUGGUGGAGGCUCGCAGCGGUUCUGACG
RNAcentral lists this ribosomal RNA (736 nucleotides) under Elsinoe protearum. RNAcentral's name for it is "eukaryotic LSU rRNA". It matches the Rfam family "Eukaryotic large subunit ribosomal RNA", at positions 133 to 891 of the family's 3401-position model. The record is from RNAcentral. Lineage: Eukaryota; Fungi; Ascomycota; Dothideomycetes; Myriangiales; Elsinoaceae.